Hordeum vulgare subsp. vulgare (domesticated barley) is the source of this 125-nucleotide non-coding RNA. The record is from Rfam. Lineage: Eukaryota; Viridiplantae; Streptophyta; Magnoliopsida; Poales; Poaceae.
GUAGUACUUCCUCUGUCCGAAAAUACUUAUCAUAGGAAUGGAUAUAACUAGAUGUAUUUUAGUUAUACAUUCAUUUAUUUGUAACCAUUUUUAUGACAAGUAAUUUCGAACGAAGGGAGUACUCA